AGAAGCAAGCCUUCGGAAAAGGAUGACAUCAUCAACCUUGAUUCUGACACAGAGGAUGAAGGUGUCCAAAGCUGUCCAGAGACAAAAACAAAGAGAUUGUUCUCUGUGUGCAUAGAGAAUAGUGGAGCUGCCAGCCUUAAUCAACUGAAGAAACCUUCUCCUGAAACUGUUGAUGGUCAAUGCAGAACUGUGAAAGGAAACUGUCAAACCAAUGGACUUAAAUCUACAUUAUCCAGAUGUUGUAACGAAGUGAUCCAGAGUGGGAACUCUGACCUUUCACAAAGGACAGAAAAGUGUAAUAAUACUGGAUCUCACCAUGGUAUAAAAGCACAAAACAUUUCAGAUGACCCAAGUGUUAUAGUAAUAUUUGACAGUGAUGAUGAAGAAAAACAAAGCAACAGACAGGUAAAGAGGAAAGGUGUAUUCUCUGAGCCAGCGAGUGGAGGCAGUACUUCAUGUGGAGAACAAGUGAGGGAUAUUGAAAAGAAUAGAAGUCCUAAAGCAAACAAUAGAGAGCCGAGUAUGCCUUGUGCAGAUUCACCAAAGUCACAGCAUCAGCCCAAACCUCAGCAAACACAGAUAAAAGAAAAGAAACAGGAUGUAACCUUUAGCCAAUCAAAUAGUAUAAAGAAGAGAAAACUGAUUAAAGUUAAAAUGACUCCUGAGCGUGUUCAACAAAACGACAACAAACAGACUACUUCAAAAAUCGUGGAACAACAUCGUGAUGAUGCACAAAAUAGUCUUUGUGCCAGCCAAAAAACCCAAAUGAAUUUAUCAUCAAAGAAGCGCUCUGAGAGGCAGUCUGUGGACACGGAGGUAGACAUCACUAAAGCUCACCAUCACCAUGUUCAACAAAAGGCGCAAAGGCAAACCUCAGAAACGGUGCAAAGAGAAGUAGAAAAACACCUUAACAAAGAGGAAAGAGAGACUAGAGUUCUCUCGUCAGAAACGGAGGACAGCGACGAUACCUUGAUUUAUAUACAAACCAGUCCACCGUUCAUGGACUGCCCACGCAAGAACCCCCAAUCUGCAGACAGGGGCAUGGGCUCCAUUUGCCAUCAGCAUGUUGAACAAAAGGCCAGUGGACAUAUGACAUCAAACACAAUGGACAGGAAGGUUGAAAGAGACCUGAAGAAGCAGAGGAGAAAGACUGGAGUUCUCUCGUCUCAAACUGAGGACAGCGAUGAUACCUUAAUUUAUGCACAAGCUAGUCCAUCCUGUUCUGAUAGCGAGGAUGACUCCACUAUGACUCCUGUGAUUCCUCGCUUUGUUGUUCAGAAGUCUUCUCCACCUAGUGAGUCCCUUAAACUUCUAAAACAGUCUACAGUCCAAAGGCGAGGCAAAAAUGAAACCCAGGCGACUCCAGAGACCCAUACAGAAACCAGCAAGACUGACUCUAAAAAGAAGAAACAACAAGGGGCUGAAGGAAAGCUUGUAUCCAAACCAAAGCCUAUAAGUGACGCACACCAUACAGAACCAUUCUCUAGGUCUGCCCAUAGCUCAUCUAGUUCCAGGCAAUGCUCGUCCUCAUCCAAACUACAGCGAGCGAACUCUGACAGAAACGCUUCAACAUUAAAUCGGUCUCGCAGUCCUACAAAGGGCCCGCCAUCUUCCACAUCCAUGCAGUCAUCAGCAAAGGAACAAGUGUUCAGUGACUGGCGAAAAAGCUUUGUGCCAACCAGGAGAGACCGAAAGAGUAGUCUGGAGAGUAACCUGAGAGCAAGGAACAAUUACGAGUCGCUAAGGGAAGCCAGAGCUGGACCAAGUCAACGUGACAAGCCACACAAACGGAGACACAGCUCCUCUGAGUCUGUACCUCCUCUGAUGAAGAGGCCCAAGGAUGAAGCCAUACAGAUAACGAGGGCCAGACAUCAGGACGCUCCAUUAGAGCAAAGAUAUCCUGUGAGCAAAGGCUACAAGUGGAAGAAUGAAACAAGCUUCAUGGCCAACAAAAGGUGAUGCUCAACAUUUAAUAUUGACUGCAUAUAAAAGAUGGGACAAGCUUCCAGACCAGGGGAAAGGUACAGCUCCUCUCCGAGACCUCACCACUGAAGGGGAAAAACGCUCUGCCAAAGAGGCUUUCUGUUGUUUUUGUUAUGACUUGUUCUGUGUUUGAUUUAAUAAAGCACUUGUGUAAAACAAAGUGACAUUACAUACAAAACUAUAAAAUGUUCAGCAUUUUAUGUGUUGUACUUGCUAUAUUAUAUACACUCAAAAAAUACAGGAACACUGAAGUCACACACCAGACAAUCUUGAAAAUUAAAGUUGGAAAUGGGAUGGAAACUAAAGUCAUCAACGUUUUGAUGGGUCCAUUCUCAUUCUAAGCAAAAACUGACUUGUUCCCUUAUUUUCUGAGCAGUAUACAAACAUUAUUCUUUGUUUUCUUUGGAAACAGAAGUGCCUGUAUGAAAACCCAACAUGCAGCUGUUUACUGGUUUUGCUCUGAAUACUGUUCAUACUUGAAUCUUUGUAAAUAGUUUGUUGUAUUUUUGACCUAUUCAUUUAUAAGUUUUUUUUUCUUACUCGGAAAAUUCUAUGCACCACUUAAAAUAGCUGUGUAUUUAAAAAAAAGCAACCUUAUUACAAGACGUAUUAAUAGAUUCUCAAUUGUUUGCCUUCUGAAUGUGUUUCACUGGAUUUUAAAUGCAGUAUUAUGCUCCCUCUGUUUAAGUGAUGUUCCCCAGUGCCUAUCUUGAGUCCUAAACCCAUCAGAAGGUUUCAAACCGCUGACAGGUGAAAUGAAUAAAAGUUGUUACAAUGUUCUACUAGAAAAACA
Oreochromis aureus is the source of this 2776-nucleotide RNA transcript. It is a transcript of the gene named serine/threonine-protein kinase PRP4 homolog, with no coding region annotated. NCBI's taxonomy places the organism in Eukaryota, Metazoa, Chordata, Actinopteri, Cichliformes, Cichlidae. The record is from RefSeq and is a predicted model, not a curated record. The transcript is spliced from 3 exons.